Long non-coding RNA from Rhodamnia argentea, 223 nucleotides. RefSeq lists it as uncharacterized. The record is from RefSeq and is a predicted model, not a curated record. The transcript has 2 exons. Lineage: Eukaryota; Viridiplantae; Streptophyta; Magnoliopsida; Myrtales; Myrtaceae.
UUAACCAGACAAAAAUCACUUGAAAAGCGUCGGCACGUACAAUAUCACAAGCAUUUGAUAAUGAAUAUGUACAAUACCAAGUCUUCAUCAGAUUUUUCCUGGCCAUCAAUCACUGAUUUUUUUUUUUAUGGCCAUAAUUUUACCUACUCUCUUUCUUUACCUUAUAUGUUGCUCCGAGCAAAUUCACCUGGUUUGACUUCGCCUCCCCAGACACUUGACCAAA